RNAcentral lists this ribosomal RNA (594 nucleotides) under Talaromyces helicus var. helicus. Its description in RNAcentral is "eukaryotic LSU rRNA". It matches the Rfam family "Eukaryotic large subunit ribosomal RNA", at positions 48 to 657 of the family's 3401-position model. The record is from RNAcentral. Lineage: Eukaryota; Fungi; Ascomycota; Eurotiomycetes; Eurotiales; Trichocomaceae.
AAGCGGAGGAAAAGAAACCAACCGGGAUUGCCUCAGUAACGGCGAGUGAAGCGGCAAGAGCUCAAAUUUGAAAUCUGGCCCCUCCGGGGUCCGAGUUGUAAUUUGCAGAGGAUGCUUCGGGAGCGGUCCCCGUCUAAGCGCCCUGGAACGGGCCGUCAUAGAGGGUGAGAAUCCCGUCUGGGAUGGGCGGCCGCGCCCGUGUGAAGCGCCUUCGACGAGUCGAGUUGUUUGGGAAUGCAGCUCUAAGUGGGUGGUAAAUUUCAUCUAAAGCUAAAUACUGGCCGGAGACCGAUAGCGCACAAGUAGAGUGAUCGAAAGAUGAAAAGCACUUUGAAAAGAGAGUUAAACAGCACGUGAAAUUGUUGAAAGGGAAGCGUUGUCCACCAGACUCGCCCGGGGGGGUUCAGCCGGCACUCGUGCCGGUGUACUCUCCCCCGGGCGGGCCAGCAUCGGUUUGGGCGGCUGGUGAAAGGCCCCGGGAAUGUAACACCCUCCGGGGUGCCUUAUAGCCCGGGGUGUCAUGCGGCCAGCCUGGACCGAGGCCCGCGCUUCGGCGAGGAUGCUGGCGUAAUGGUGGUCAACGGCCCGUCUUGA